UACGAAGGGGGCUAGCGUUGCUCGGAAUGACUGGGCGUAAAGGGCGCGUAGGCGGUUCGUACAGUUGGAUGUGAAAUUCCCGGGCUCAACCUGGGGGCUGCAUUCAAUACGUGCGGGCUUGAGUUCGGAAGAGGGUCGUGGAAUUCCCAGUGUAGAGGUGAAAUUCGUAGAUAUUGGGAAGAACACCGGUGGCGAAGGCGGCGACCUGGUCCGAUACUGACGCUGAGGCGCGAAAAGCGUGGGGGAGCAAACAGG
This 255-nucleotide ribosomal RNA is filed under the name uncultured bacterium. Its description in RNAcentral is "partial 16S ribosomal RNA". It matches the Rfam family "Bacterial small subunit ribosomal RNA", at positions 524 to 776 of the family's 1533-position model. The record is from RNAcentral.